UACGUAGGGACCGAGCGUUGUCCGGAUUCAUUGGGCGUAAAGAGCUCGUAGGCGGCCACUCAAGUCGAAUGUGAAACCUCGAGGCUUAACCUCGAGCCUGCAUUCGAUACUGGGCGGCUAGAGUCUGGUAGGGGGAUCUGGAAUUCCUGGUGUAGCGGUGGAAUGCGCAGAUAUCAGGAGGAACACCGAUGGCGAAGGCAGUUCUCUGGGCCGUAACUGACGCUGAGGAGCGAAAGCGUGGGGAGCGAACAGG
Molecule: ribosomal RNA, 253 nt
Filed under: uncultured bacterium
Lineage: Bacteria
Description: partial 16S ribosomal RNA
Rfam family: Bacterial small subunit ribosomal RNA
Source: RNAcentral